Molecule: non-coding RNA, 99 nt
Organism: Dendrothele bispora CBS 962.96
Lineage: Eukaryota; Fungi; Basidiomycota; Agaricomycetes; Agaricales
Source: the annotation of a GenBank genome assembly
GGUUCGAUGGCGUAGUUGGUUAUCGCAUCUGUCUAACAUGAGUAAUCCUAUGAAACUUCGUUACACAGAAGGUCCCCGGUUCGAGCCCGGGUCGAAUCA